GGGCCCGCACAAGCGGAGGAACAUGUGGUUUAAUUCGAUGAUACGCGAGGAACCUUACCCGGGAAUGAACGCAGAGAGACGUACGCUAAAAGGCGUAUUCUAGCAAUAGUUGUCUGCGAGGUGCUGCAUGGUUGUCGUCAGCUCGUGCCGUGAGGUGUCGGGUUAAGUCCCAUAACGAGCGCAACCCCUGUUGACAGUUACCAUCAAGUAAAGUUGGGGACUCUGUCAAGACUGCCGCCGUAAGGUGCGAGGAAGGUGGGGAUGACGUCAAAUCAGCACGGCCCUUACAUCCGGGGCUACACACGUGUUACAAUGGACGGUACAGAUGGUAGCUACUUGGCGACAAGAUGCUAAUCUACAAAGCCGUUCCCAGUUCGGAUUGGAGUCUGCAACUCGACUCCAUGAAGCCGGAUUCGCUAGUAAUCGCGCAUCAGCACGGCGCGGUGAAUACG
This 452-nucleotide ribosomal RNA is filed under the name uncultured Bacteroidales bacterium. RNAcentral describes it as "bacterial SSU rRNA". It matches the Rfam family "Bacterial small subunit ribosomal RNA", at positions 917 to 1370 of the family's 1533-position model. The record is from RNAcentral. Lineage: Bacteria; Pseudomonadati; Bacteroidota; Bacteroidia; Bacteroidales.